RNAcentral lists this ribosomal RNA (74 nucleotides) under Cybaeus melanoparvus. RNAcentral's name for it is "partial 18S ribosomal RNA". It matches the Rfam family "Eukaryotic small subunit ribosomal RNA", at positions 1758 to 1831 of the family's 1831-position model. Lineage: Eukaryota; Metazoa; Arthropoda; Arachnida; Araneae; Cybaeidae. The record is from RNAcentral.
ACCAAACUUGAUCAUUUAGAGGAAGUAAAAGUCGUAACAAGGUUUUCGUAGGUGAACCUGCGAAAGGAUCAUUA